UACAGAGGGUGCGAGCGUUAAUCGGAAUUACUGGGCGUAAAGCGCACGUAGGUGGCGACGUAAGUCGGGUGUGAAAGCCCCGGGCUCAACCUGGGAAUUGCAUUCGAGACUGCAUUGCUGGAGUACGGAAGAGGAGGGCGGAAUUCCCGGUGUAGCGGUGAAAUGCGUAGAUAUCGGGAGGAACAUCAGUGGCGAAGGCGGCCCUCUGGUCCAGUACUGACACUCAAGUGCGAAAGUGUGGGGAGCAAACAGG
This 253-nucleotide ribosomal RNA is filed under the name uncultured bacterium. Its description in RNAcentral is "partial 16S ribosomal RNA". It matches the Rfam family "Bacterial small subunit ribosomal RNA", at positions 524 to 776 of the family's 1533-position model. The record is from RNAcentral.